This 442-nucleotide ribosomal RNA is filed under the name uncultured bacterium. RNAcentral's name for it is "partial 16S ribosomal RNA". It matches the Rfam family "Bacterial small subunit ribosomal RNA", at positions 338 to 795 of the family's 1533-position model. The record is from RNAcentral.
CCUACGGGUGGCUGCAGUGGGGGAUAUUGCACAAUGGGGGAAACCCUGAUGCAGCGACGCCGCGUGGGCGAAGAAGUAUUUCUGUAUUUAAAGCCCUAUCAGCACGGAAGAAGAAAUGACGGUACCUGAGUAACAAGCACCGGCUAAAUACGUGCCAGCAGCCACGGUAAUACGUAUGGUGCAAGCGUUAUCCGGAUUUACUGGGUGUAAAGGGAGCGCAGGCGGCACGGCAAGCCUGAUGUGAAAGCCCGCGGCCCAACCGCGGGACUGCAUUGGAAACUGCCGGGCUAGAGUGUCGGAGAGGUAGGCGGAAUGCCUAGUGUAGCGGUGAAAUGCGUAGAGAUUAGGAGGAACACCAGUGGCGAAGGCGGCCUACUGGACGGUGACUGACGCUGAGGCACGAAAGCGUGGGGAGCAAACAGGAUUAGAUACCCGAGUAGUC